This 253-nucleotide ribosomal RNA is filed under the name uncultured bacterium. RNAcentral's name for it is "partial 16S ribosomal RNA". It matches the Rfam family "Bacterial small subunit ribosomal RNA", at positions 524 to 776 of the family's 1533-position model. The record is from RNAcentral.
UACGUAGGGGGCAAGCGUUGUCCGGAUUUAUUGGGCGUAAAGAGCGUGUAGGCGGCCAAGCAGGUCCGCUGUGAAAACUCGAGGCUCAACCUCGAGACGUCGGUGGAAACCGUUUGGCUAGAGUCCGGAAGAGGAGAGUGGAAUUCCCGGUGUAGCGGUGAAAUGCGCAGAUAUCGGGAAGAACACCCGUGGCGAAGGCGGCUCUCUGGAACGGUACUGACGCUGAGACGCGAAAGCGUGGGGAGCGAACAGG